AGUGAACGCUGGCGGUAGGCCUAACACAUGCAAGUCGAACGGCAGCACAGUAAGAGCUUGCUCUUACGGGUGGCGAGUGGCGGACGGGUGAGGAAUACAUCGGAAUCUACUUUUUCGUGGGGGAUAACGUAGGGAAACUUACGCUAAUACCGCAUACGACCUACGGGUGAAAGCAGGGGAUCUUCGGACCUUGCGCGAUUGAAUGAGCCGAUGUCGGAUUAGCUAGUUGGCGGGGUAAAGGCCCACCAAGGCGACGAUCCGUAGCUGGUCUGAGAGGAUGAACAGCCAAACUGGAACUGAGACACGGUCCCGACUCCUACGGGAGGCAGCAGUGGGGAAUAUUGGACAAUGGGCGCAAGCCUGAUCCAGCCAUACCGCGUGGGUGAAGAAGGCCUUCGGGUUGGAAAGCCCUUUUGUUGGGAAAGAAAAGCAGCAGGUUAAUACCCCGCUGUUCUGACGGUACCCAAAGAAUAAGCACCGGCUAACUUCGUG
Molecule: ribosomal RNA, 492 nt
Filed under: uncultured bacterium
Lineage: Bacteria
Description: partial 16S ribosomal RNA
Rfam family: Bacterial small subunit ribosomal RNA
Source: RNAcentral